GACGAACGCUGGCGGCGUGCUUAACACAUGCAAGUCGAACGGAAAGGCCCUGCUUUUGCGGGGUGCUCGAGUCGCGAACGGGUGAGUAACACGUGAGUAACCUGCCCUUGACUUUGUGAUAUCUUCAGGAAACUGGUGCUAAUACCGGCUAGGAGCUCCUGCUGCAUGGUGGGGGUUGGAAAGUUCCGGCUGUUGGGGAUGGACUCGCGGGUUAUCAGCUUGUUGGUGGGGUAGUGGCAUACCAAGGCUUUGAUAGGUGGGCGGCCUGAGAGGGGGAACGGCGACAUUGGGCCUAAGGGAGGGCGCAGACUCGAACGGUAGGCAGCAGUGGGGAGUAUGGCACAAUGGGGGGAAGCGUGAUGCGGCGGCGCCGGGAGCGGAAAGACGGCCUAGUGGUUGGAAAGCGCUUUCGGCUGUGACGAAGCGUGAGUGACGGUAAUAGGUAAAGAAGCACCGGCUAACUACGUG
This 468-nucleotide ribosomal RNA is filed under the name uncultured bacterium. Its description in RNAcentral is "partial 16S ribosomal RNA". It matches the Rfam family "Bacterial small subunit ribosomal RNA", at positions 28 to 507 of the family's 1533-position model. The record is from RNAcentral.